Suricata suricatta (meerkat) is the source of this 385-nucleotide long non-coding RNA. RefSeq lists it as uncharacterized. Lineage: Eukaryota; Metazoa; Chordata; Mammalia; Carnivora; Herpestidae. The transcript is spliced from 2 exons. The record is from RefSeq and is a predicted model, not a curated record.
AGCUCCCAGCAGCGGUAACCAAGACAUGUCAGCCUGGUUCAAUCUAUUUGCAGACUUGGAUCCACUUUCAAACCCAGAUGCUAUUGGACACUCAGAUGAUGAACUUCUUAAUGCUUGAUUGAAAUAAUGUUGUCACUUCAGUGGCCUUGAGACAUCAAUUUUACAACAUACUGCCUUAGUGGAAAGGAGUUUAUAUUGUAACCCAUACACAAAAGCAUCGUGUUUGUGAAUAUAACACUUUUCAGCCAACUUUAAACAUAUGGUUAAAAAAACCUCUACCAAUGUGAUCGAAAUCAGCUUCUGCCUCUCUAAAAGUUGUGCUUCCAAAUUAAAAUACUUCAUGAAGUUUCUGCACCUGUGCAACAUUAAAACUAACAGAGCUUGA